GAUGAACGCUGGCGGCGUGCCUAAUACAUGCAAGUCGAGCGAACAGACGAGGAGCUUGCUCCUCUGACGUUAGCGGCGGACGGGUGAGUAACACGUGGAUAACCUACCUAUAAGACUGGGAUAACUUCGGGAAACCGGAGCUAAUACCGGAUAAUAUAUUGAACCGCAUGGUUCAAUAGUGAAAGACGGUUUUGCUGUCACUUAUAGAUGGAUCCGCGCCGCAUUAGCUAGUUGGUAAGGUAACGGCUUACUAAGGCAACGAUGCGUAGCCGACCUGAGAGGGUGAUCGGCCACACUGGAACUGAGACACGGUCCAGCCUCCUACGGGAGGCAGCAGUAGGGAAUCUUCCGCAAUGGGCGAAAGCCUGACGGAGCAACGCCGCGUGAGUGAUGAAGGUCUUCGGAUCGUAAAACUCUGUUAUUAGGGAAGAACAAAUGUGUAAGUAACUAUGCACGUCUUGACGGUACCUAAUCAGAAAGCCACGGCUAACUACGUG
This 497-nucleotide ribosomal RNA is filed under the name uncultured bacterium. RNAcentral describes it as "partial 16S ribosomal RNA". It matches the Rfam family "Bacterial small subunit ribosomal RNA", at positions 28 to 507 of the family's 1533-position model. The record is from RNAcentral.